AUGAACGCUGGCGGCGUGCCUAAUACAUGCAAGUCGAGCGAACAGAUGAGGAGCUUGCUCCUCUGACGUUAGCGGCGGACGGGUGAGUAACACGUGGAUAACCUACCUAUAAGACUGGGAUAACUUCGGGAAACCGGAGCUAAUACCGGAUAAUAUAUUGAACCGCAUGGUUCAAUAGUGAAAGACGGUUUUGCUGUCACUUAUAGAUGGAUCCGCGCCGCAUUAGCUAGUUGGUAAGGUAACGGCUUACCAAGGCAACGAUGCGUAGCCGACCUGAGAGGGUGAUCGGCCACACUGGAACUGAGACACGGUCCAGACUCCUACGGGAGGCAGCAGUAGGGAAUCUUCCGCAAUGGGCGAAAGCCUGACGGAGCAACGCCGCGUGAGUGAUGAAGGUCUUCGGAUCGUAAAACUCUGUUAUUAGGGAAGAACAAAUGUGUAAGUAACUAUGCACGUCUUGACGGUACCUAAUCAGAAAGCCACGGCUAACUACGCG
This 496-nucleotide ribosomal RNA is filed under the name uncultured bacterium. Its description in RNAcentral is "partial 16S ribosomal RNA". It matches the Rfam family "Bacterial small subunit ribosomal RNA", at positions 29 to 507 of the family's 1533-position model. The record is from RNAcentral.